GUUAGGAAUAUUGGACAAUGGGCGAAAGCCUGAUCCAGCCAUGCCGCGUGAACGAUGAAGGCCUUCGGGUUGUAAAGUUCUUUAGCCGAUGAUUAUAAUGACUGUAGUCGGAAAAUAAGCCCCGGCUAACUUCGUGCCAGCAGCCGCGGUAAUACGAAGGGGGCGAGCGUUAUUCGGAAUCACUGGGCGUAAAGCGUGCGUAGGCGGUUUUGUAAGUUAGGAGUGAAAGCCCAGGGCUCAACCUUGGAAUUGCUCUUAAAACUGCAAGGCUCGAAUCUCGGAGAGGAUAGCGGAAUUUCCAGUGUAGCAGUGAAAUGCGUAGAUAUUGGAAGGAACACCAGUGGCGUAAGCGGCUAUCUGGACGAGUAAUGACGCUGAGGCACGAAAGCGUGGGGAUCAAACAGGAUUAGAAACCCCAGUAGUCC
This 425-nucleotide ribosomal RNA is filed under the name uncultured bacterium. RNAcentral's name for it is "partial 16S ribosomal RNA". It matches the Rfam family "Bacterial small subunit ribosomal RNA", at positions 354 to 796 of the family's 1533-position model. The record is from RNAcentral.